GUCUGCGGCUAUGCCACCCUGAACAAGCCUGAUGUCUGAUGGCGGAAGCUAACCAGGGUUGGGCCUGGUUAGUACUUGGAUGGGAGACCACCUAGGAAGACCAGGUGCUGUAGGCA
This 116-nucleotide ribosomal RNA is filed under the name Pteropus alecto (black flying fox). The record is from RNAcentral. Lineage: Eukaryota; Metazoa; Chordata; Mammalia; Chiroptera; Pteropodidae.